Molecule: long non-coding RNA, 349 nt
Organism: Gadus morhua (Atlantic cod)
Lineage: Eukaryota; Metazoa; Chordata; Actinopteri; Gadiformes; Gadidae
Exons: 3
Source: RefSeq, a predicted model, not a curated record
CCUCAGUUCCUACUGUGUCUUUCACGGUAGAGGCUACACUAUCAAAGCCUUUCACUGCAGAGUUAACAAACCAAACGACUGCAGAGUUUCAAGAACUGCAAACAACUGUUGUGACAUCUUGCGAUGCGAUCUUCCAGGAGGCCUAUGGGUCGGUUUUCAUCACCACUCUUGUCCUUGGAUUCAGCCCGUCCAUCGAUGGAAACACUACAAUAGAGGUGGAGCUUGUUUUCAAUAACACAGCAUCACCUGAAGUGACCGUUUCAACUGCCGAUGUACUGGAGACCAUGACGACGGCAGCAACCAACACCUCCGCUGGCGGAUUCUCCUUUGAUCCGGAAUCUAUUGUUGU